UACGUAGGGUGCGAGCGUUAAUCGGAAUUAUUGGGCGUAAAGGGUGCGCAGGCGGAUAUAUAAGAUAGGUGUGAAAUCCUUGGGCUCAACCUGAGAAUGGCAUUUAUGACUGUAUAUCUAGAGUGUAUAAGAGGGGGGUAGAAUUCCAUGUGUAGCAGUGAAAUGCGUAGAGAUGUGGAGGAAUACCGAUGGCGAAGGCAGCCCCCUGGUAUAACACUGACGCUCAUGCACGAAAGCGUGGGGAGCAAACAGG
This 253-nucleotide ribosomal RNA is filed under the name uncultured bacterium. RNAcentral describes it as "partial 16S ribosomal RNA". It matches the Rfam family "Bacterial small subunit ribosomal RNA", at positions 524 to 776 of the family's 1533-position model. The record is from RNAcentral.